UACGUAGGGUGCGAGCGUUGUCCGGAAUUACUGGGCGUAAAGAGCUCGUAGGUGGUUUGUCGCGUUGUUCGUGAAAACCGGGGGCUUAACCCUCGGCGUGCGGGCGAUACGGGCAGACUUGAGUACUGCAGGGGAGACUGGAAUUCCUGGUGUAGCGGUGGAAUGCGCAGAUAUCAGGAGGAACACCGGUGGCGAAGGCGGGUCUCUGGGCAGUAACUGACGCUGAGGAGCGAAAACGUGGGGAGCGAACAGG
This 253-nucleotide ribosomal RNA is filed under the name uncultured bacterium. RNAcentral describes it as "partial 16S ribosomal RNA". It matches the Rfam family "Bacterial small subunit ribosomal RNA", at positions 524 to 776 of the family's 1533-position model. The record is from RNAcentral.